CAAUUCAAUACCAACAAUUAAUAAUAAGCAGAAUGCAACAGUUUCAAUAUUUUAAGAAUAAAAUAUUAAUGCUCAAUUAACCUAGAAUAAAACAUUAUUUAAUUAAUGCAGGAAAAAUUAAAUAAGGGUAAGAGACAAAACCGAGCAAUUCACACAAAAUUGCAAACGAAAGUUCCUCCGACGGCUGCUCCGGCGGUCGUCGAUUUUCCGG
RNAcentral lists this long non-coding RNA (211 nucleotides) under Erythranthe guttata (spotted monkey flower). RNAcentral describes it as "long non-coding RNA (EGUT_LNC002954)". Lineage: Eukaryota; Viridiplantae; Streptophyta; Magnoliopsida; Lamiales; Phrymaceae. The record is from RNAcentral.